Molecule: ribosomal RNA, 376 nt
Filed under: uncultured bacterium
Lineage: Bacteria
Description: bacterial SSU rRNA
Rfam family: Bacterial small subunit ribosomal RNA
Source: RNAcentral
UACGUAGGUGGCAAGCGUUGUCCGGAUUUACUGGGCGUAAAGCGCGCGUAGGUGGUUCGGAAAGUCCGGGGUGAAAUCUUGCGGCUCAACUGCAAGCGGUCCCUGGAUACUUCCGGGCUUGAGGUGGGCAGAGGAAGGUGGAAUUCCCGGUGUAGUGGUGAAAUGCGUAGAUAUCGGGAGGAACACCAGUGGCGAAGGCGGCCUUCUGGGCCUUACCUGACGCUGAGGCGCGAAAGCGUGGGGAGCAAACCGGAUUAGAUACCCGGGUAGUCCACGCCCUAAACGAUGAACACUAGGUGUGGGGGGUAUCGACCCCCUCCGUGCCGAAGCUAACGCGAUAAGUGUUCCGCCUGGGGACUACGGCCGCAAGGCUAAA